Long non-coding RNA from Etheostoma spectabile (orangethroat darter), 411 nucleotides. RefSeq lists it as uncharacterized. Lineage: Eukaryota; Metazoa; Chordata; Actinopteri; Perciformes; Percidae. The transcript is spliced from 3 exons. The record is from RefSeq and is a predicted model, not a curated record.
UUUAAACCAACUUCUAUCAGUGGUUCCAGCAGUGAAACAACGAUCCCCUGCGAGUCUUAAACCCUCCACUAACAGGCCUCGUUUGGAGGUUCAACCACAGUCAGAUCAUCCUGACCCAGACCGGAGACCACGUCCCCUACACAGUCUCAGAGGAGUGGAGGCAGCGGGUGAAGAGUGUGUCUGAGUCAGGCAGCCUCACGCUAAAAGACUUAUCUUCAGAUCAAGACGGGAUAUACACGUGUGAACUGAGUAAUGCUGAGGAGACCUACGUAACCAACACUCUUCUGAGGAUAGAGAAACCUCCAGGAAAGGCAGCAAGAGGUGGGAAUUCAGACAAUGUUAGAGCUGUUAUAGCGGUGUGUUAGCAACUUGUGGCUGCACGUAGUUGUCUUCCUGGUCUGGAUCUGUAAA